GACGAACGCUGGCGGCGUGCUUAACACAUGCAAGUCGAGCGGUAAGGCCCUUUCGGGGGUACACGAGCGGCGAACGGGUGAGUAACACGUGGGUGACCUGCCCUCAGCUCUGGGAUAAGCCUGGGAAACCGGGGUCUAAUACCGGAUAUGACUCCAUGACGCAUGUUGUGGGGUGGAAAGCCUUGUGCGGCUGAGGAUGGGCCCGCGGCCUAUCAGCUUGUUGGUGGGGNGAUGGCCUACCAAGGCGACGACGGGUAGCCGGCCUGAGAGGGCGACCGGCCACACUGGGACUGAGACACGGCCCAGACUCCUACGGGAGGCAGCAGUGGGGAAUCUUGCGCAAUGGGNGAAAGCCUGACGCAGCGACGCCGCGUGAGGGAUGACGGCCU
This 389-nucleotide ribosomal RNA is filed under the name uncultured bacterium. RNAcentral's name for it is "bacterial SSU rRNA". It matches the Rfam family "Bacterial small subunit ribosomal RNA", at positions 28 to 417 of the family's 1533-position model. The record is from RNAcentral.